RNAcentral lists this ribosomal RNA (492 nucleotides) under uncultured bacterium. RNAcentral's name for it is "partial 16S ribosomal RNA". It matches the Rfam family "Bacterial small subunit ribosomal RNA", at positions 29 to 507 of the family's 1533-position model. The record is from RNAcentral.
AGUGAACGCUGGCGGUAGGCCUAACACAUGCAAGUCGAACGGCAGCACAGUAAGAUCUUGCUCUUACGGGUGGCGAGUGGCGGACGGGUGAGGAAUACAUCGGAAUCUACUUUUUCGGGGGGGAUAACGUAGGGAAACUUACGCUAAUACCGCACACGAUCUACGGGUGAAAUCAGGGGAGCUUCGGACCUUGCGCGACUGAAUGAGCCGGUGCCGGAUUAGCUAGUUGGCGGGGUAAGGGCCCACCAAGGCGACGAUCCGUAGCUGGUCUGAGAGGAUGAUCAGCCACACUGGAACUGAGACACGGUCCAGACUCCUACGGGAGGCAGCAGUGGGGAAUAUUCGACAAUGGGCGAAAGCCUGAUGCAGCCAUACCGCGUGGGUGAAGAAGGCCUUCGGGUUGUAAAGCCCUUUUAUUGGGAAAGAAAAGCAGUAGGUUAAUACCCCGCUGUUCUGACGGUACCCAAAGAGUAAGCACCGGCUAACUUCGUG